Molecule: ribosomal RNA, 253 nt
Filed under: uncultured bacterium
Lineage: Bacteria
Description: partial 16S ribosomal RNA
Rfam family: Bacterial small subunit ribosomal RNA
Source: RNAcentral
UACGGAGGGGGCUAGCGUUGUUCGGAAUUACUGGGCGUAAAGCGCGCGUAGGCGGCUUUGUAAGUUAGAGGUGAAAGCCCGGAGCUCAACUCCGGAAUUGCCUUUAAGACUGCAUCGCUAGAAUCAUGGAGAGGUUAGUGGAAUUCCGAGUGUAGAGGUGAAAUUCGUAGAUAUUCGGAAGAACACCAGUGGCGAAGGCGACUAACUGGACAUGUAUUGACGCUGAGGUGCGAAAGCGUGGGUAGCAAACAGG